RNAcentral lists this small nuclear RNA (220 nucleotides) under Triticum aestivum (bread wheat). The stretch from base 101 to 211 matches the Rfam family "U5 spliceosomal RNA". From Rfam's summary of the family: U5 RNA is a component of both types of known spliceosome. The precise function of this molecule is unknown, though it is known that the 5' loop is required for splice site selection and p220 binding, and that both the 3' stem-loop and the Sm site are important for Sm protein binding and cap methylation. The record is from RNAcentral. Lineage: Eukaryota; Viridiplantae; Streptophyta; Magnoliopsida; Poales; Poaceae.
GCGGAGGUAGGCGUUUUAGUCCCACCUCGCCUGGCUGAGCGGGAGGGGGCAGAGCGCUCGGCUACAUAUGAGGGCGGGGUGCGAAUGGGAAGAGGCACGCAGCUGCGUGGUGAGCACAAAGCGAACUAUUCUUUCGCCUUUUACUAAAGAAUACCGUGUGCACGCCACACUAAGCAGCAUACCCUAAUUUUUUGAGGGUGUUUUCUCCUUGUGAGAAAGC